UGAAUACGAGAUGCUACGGCGUCGAAGCAGUCUAUGUCAUACUUCCAAGAAAAGCUCGCACUGUCAUAAACAAAUAAUGCCUGUACCAUAACCGACACAGGUGGGUAGGUAGAGUAUACUAAGGGGCGCGAGAUAACUCUCUCUAAGGAACUCGGCAAAAUGACUCCGUAACUUCGGGAGAAGGAGUGCCUUAUUUAUAAGGUUGCAAUAACAAGAUCCAAGCAACUGUUUAUCAAAAACACAGGUCUCCGCUAAGUCGUAAGACGAUGUAUGGGGGCUGACGCCUGCCCAGUGCCAGAAGGUUAAAGAAGUUGGUUAGCAUUCGCGAAGCUGAUAACUGAAGCCCUGGUGAACGGCGGCCGUAACGAUAACGGUCCUAAGGUAGCGAAAUUCCUUGUCGGGUAAGUUCCGACCCGCACGAAAGGCGUAAUGAUUUGGAUACUGUCUCGGAGAGGGGCUCGGUGAAAUAGACUUGUCUGUGAAGAUGCGGACUACCUGCACCAGGACAGAAAGACCCUAUGAAGCUUUACUGUAACUUGAGAUUGAAAUUGGACUUUACUUGCGCAGUAUAGGUGGGAGGCGUUGAUAAUAUUCUUGCGGGAUUAUUUGAGCCAUCAGUGAGAUACCACUCUUGUAAUGUUAGAUUUCUAACUUUGUAUCAUUAUCUGGUCAAAGGACAGUUUCAGGCGGGCAGUUUGACUGGGGCGGUCGCCUCCUAAACGGUAACGGAGGCGCACAAAGGUUUCCUCUGAACGGGUAGAAAUCGUAUCUAGAGUGUAAAGGCAUAAGGAAGCUUGACUGUGAGACCUACAAGUCGAGCAGGGACGAAAGUCGGUCUUAGUGAUCUGACGGUGCUGAGUGGAAAGGCCGUCACUCAACGGAUAAAAGUUACUCUAGGAUAACAGGCUGAUCUCCCCCAAGAGUUCACAUCGACGGGGAGGUUUGGCACCUCGAUGUCGGCUCAUCGCAUCCUGGGGCGGUAGUACGUCCCAAGGGUUGGGCUGUUCGCCCAUGAAAGCGGUACGCGAGCUGGGUUCAGAACGUCGUGAGACAGUUCGGUCCAUAUCCGGUGUAGGCGUUAGAAUAUUGAGAGGAGCCUUCUUUAGUACGAGAGGACCAAGAAGGACAUACCUCUGGUGUACCAGUUAUCGUGCCAACGGUAAACGCUGGGUAGCUAUGUAUGGAGUGGAUAACCGCUGAAAGCAUCUAAGUGGGAAGCCCACCUCAAGAUAAGUAUUCU
RNAcentral lists this ribosomal RNA (1240 nucleotides) under metagenome. Its description in RNAcentral is "bacterial LSU rRNA". It matches the Rfam family "Bacterial large subunit ribosomal RNA", at positions 1564 to 2814 of the family's 2925-position model. The record is from RNAcentral.